GACGAACGCUGGCGGCGUGCUUAACACAUGCAAGUCGAACGGAAAGGCCCUGCUUUUGUGGGUUGCUCGAGUGGCGAACGGGUGAGUAACACGUGAGUAACCUGCCCUUGACUUUGGGAUAACUUCAGGAAACUGGGGCUAAUACCGGAUAGGAGCUCCUGCUGCAUGGUGGGGGUUGGAAAGUUUCGGCGGUUGGGGGUGGACUCGCGGCUUAUCAGCUUGUUGGUGGGGGAGUGGCUUACCAAGGCUUUGACGGGUCGCCGGACUGAGAGGGUGACCGGCCACUUUGGGACUGAGAUACGGCCCAGACUCCUACGGGAGGCAGCAGUGGGGAAUAUUGCACAAUGGGCGGAAGCCUGAUGCAGCAACGCCGCGUGCGGGAUGACGGCCUUCGGGUUGUAAACCGCUUUCGCCUGUGACGAAGCGUGAGUGACGGUAAUGGGUAAAGAAGCACCGGCUAACUACGUG
RNAcentral lists this ribosomal RNA (468 nucleotides) under uncultured bacterium. Its description in RNAcentral is "partial 16S ribosomal RNA". It matches the Rfam family "Bacterial small subunit ribosomal RNA", at positions 28 to 507 of the family's 1533-position model. The record is from RNAcentral.